UGAUUUCUGUGCAGCUAUGGCUGCCUAUUCAUAUCUCAGCUGAACUGGUUUGUUUAGGUCAAGUGCUCUGCUUAUUAGUCUUGGAAAUCUUGAUUCUAACAAUGAAACGAAAAUAGUCCUGUGAGAACACCCUGUGCACCUGUGCCAAGGAACAACAGGGAUUAGGGAGCAGUAAACAAAGUGUUUCCCUACAGGCGGCACAUCUGAGCUCAGAGAUCGUACAUGAAGGCUUAGCUACUGGAACAGAGGAGAAAUAACUUCAACACACAAAGAUUGAGUGACUUAAUUGCUAGGGCGUCUGAUGAUAAAGAACCCAAACCAAAGCUUCUCUCCAGCCCCUCCCCUCAGGUAGCUUGAUUAUCUAACACACACAAACACACACACACGCACACUCUCUCUCUCUCUCUCUCUCACACACACACACAUACGCACACUCACUCACUCACAAUAAUGAACAGACAUGAUACUUCCACAAACACCGACUUAGCAUGGAAGACACUCACCAGGUCAUUCAAGGGGCACCAAGGUGGAAAAUGUUCCCAUCCUCAAGAAACUCAGCCAAUGUUUCCUUUGGGAAAUGGCUUCGUUCCGCCUGUGGACUCACACUGUGGCGUGUCUGCAAACACUGCUGUGGUUUCUGUGGAGCUGUGUGUAUUAGGUCCGACUUCGCUGUUUGCUGGAAUGAGGAGCAGAGACCCCAAACGCACAGGAAGAACAGGCUGGCAUCGCCUCGGCCUGCCUCGUGCUGGAGAAGAGACCACACAGACUUGGCCUGGGUUCAGCAAAUCGCAACUCUUUAAGAUGGAAUAGCUUAGAGUUUAAGACAUAUCAAAAGUGUAAACAUAGUUGCUGACCUGAGUAGUUUUUAUGGGGGGAGGUAAUCCUUUGAGAGAAUUCAUCUAUCUAUACCUUAUGAUUUGUGCAAUUUUCUAUAUGAAUGUUAUGUAUCAAUAAAACAUUUGAAAAUGAAAAGGCAAGGAGCUGUCCAUUCUUUUGGUAAUUCGGGAGAUAGAGGUACAUCCUCAUUCCCUCUCCUCUCACAUUGCGUGAGCAUAGCCUCCC
RNAcentral lists this long non-coding RNA (1062 nucleotides) under Macaca nemestrina (pig-tailed macaque). RNAcentral describes it as "lncRNA (ENSMNEG00000045807.1)". The record is from RNAcentral. Lineage: Eukaryota; Metazoa; Chordata; Mammalia; Primates; Cercopithecidae.